GGGCCUGUAGCUCAGGUGGUUUAGAGCGCACGCCUGAUAAGCGUGAGGUCGGAGGUUCAAGUCCUCCCAGGCCCACCA
RNAcentral lists this transfer RNA (78 nucleotides) under Candidatus Marinamargulisbacteria bacterium SCGC AAA071-K20. Its description in RNAcentral is "tRNA-Ile". It matches the Rfam family "tRNA". Rfam says of the family: Transfer RNA (tRNA) molecules are approximately 80 nucleotides in length. Their secondary structure includes four short double-helical elements and three loops (D, anti-codon, and T loops). Further hydrogen bonds mediate the characteristic L-shaped molecular structure. tRNAs have two regions of fundamental functional importance: the anti-codon, which is responsible for specific mRNA codon recognition, and the 3' end, to which the tRNAs corresponding amino acid is attached (by aminoacyl-tRNA synthetases). tRNAs cope with the degeneracy of the genetic code in two manners: having more than one tRNA (with a specific anti-codon) for a particular amino acid; and 'wobble' base-pairing, i.e. permitting non-standard base-pairing at the 3rd anti-codon position. Lineage: Bacteria; Bacillati; Candidatus Margulisiibacteriota; Candidatus Marinamargulisbacteria. The record is from RNAcentral.